This is a long non-coding RNA of Selaginella moellendorffii, 207 nucleotides long. RefSeq lists it as uncharacterized. The record is from RefSeq and is a predicted model, not a curated record. Lineage: Eukaryota; Viridiplantae; Streptophyta; Lycopodiopsida; Selaginellales; Selaginellaceae. The transcript has 3 exons.
GUUGCUGGGCCUUAUCAUCUCUGGUAGCCCUCUGUGCUUCUGCGUGCUCUCGACAGUCCAAGGAAAAGAAUCUCCAAGACGACCAAGCUCACCAAGCUGACAUUGAUGACGACGACGCACUUGAAUUGGACAUGCAGCCUCUCCGAGGGCUACCCUACAUCGUGUCAUGGUCGUUUAUCCAGAAACUGGUCAACAGCAUGUUUAAGU